RNAcentral lists this transfer RNA (72 nucleotides) under Heterocephalus glaber (naked mole-rat). It matches the Rfam family "tRNA". Rfam says of the family: Transfer RNA (tRNA) molecules are approximately 80 nucleotides in length. Their secondary structure includes four short double-helical elements and three loops (D, anti-codon, and T loops). Lineage: Eukaryota; Metazoa; Chordata; Mammalia; Rodentia; Bathyergidae. The record is from Rfam by way of RNAcentral.
UGUAAUGGGGCUCAGCAGUAGAGCACUAGCCUAGCACUUGCAGAGCCCUGGGUUCUAUCCCCAGCACUGCAA